CAGAUUUAAUAUGAAACUGUAUACAUACAGGAUGUGUGCUCUACUACUGACCCAUAGCCCCUCUCCUUUGACAUACCAAUGUUUAUAGGUGCUUCAUCUGGAAAAAGACUUGUGACCAGCAGCCUGAUACGUGCACCAAAGCAUGUUUGAUGUCAGUGCCUGGAUUAUCCUUCUCUGGAUUGAGGCUCAUGACCUUCCUAAUGCAACUCCGCAUCCAAGAGAUCUUCUGAAUUAAUCUUUCUAAGACUGUGUCUAAUUCUAAGGAGUCUUAUUACAAAGUGCAUCCCACUGAUCUCUGCAAAGACACAUUUCCAAGGUAACACACAUAGGAUUGUUGUCAGGCUUAGACUAUUGAGGGUGGGCUGUUUAAUCCUAACUGUCCUGAUUAGGGUUCACAUGACUCAUGCCUUCCCUUUAGGCGUGGAACUGCUUUGAGUAAAUCAUCCUAUCUCAGUGUUAAUUCUCCACGGACAAUCUGAAUAUCCAGUGUGAAAGGCAGGCCAUUUACCCAAGUCUACACCAGGACUCUCCAGAUGUUGCAACUCCCAAAUACUUCCUAUCAUUAGUUAUGUAAGGAAUAGCAUGUCACUGCAACAAUUGUACAUGCUCAGAGACAUGUUUCAAUGCAAGAACAAUGACUGAUGAAGAUCUGUGAAUUAGACAAGAUGAACAAAUUGACUAUGCUGAUUAAGGAGAAAUUUCUGAUUAACUUUAAGAAAGAUUAUAACCUGCACAUUGUUUUUGCAUAUCAAUGAUAGGGGCAUUUAUGAACUGUGGGAUUCAUGAAUUAGUAAAGUGUUGCAAAAAUCUUACGUAUUUAUUAGAAAAGUAGCAGCAAACUAGCAAUGGCUAUUAUGGGUAGAAAAUGUCAUUUGUUGCAAUUCUCUCAUUCCAUUAAGAAGUUGUUGUUGUUCUUGUUCUUGUUGUUUGUCUUGAAAUAAUUUCAAGUUGUGGUAAUUCUAAGGUGACCCUGUCAAGGGGUUUUCUUGGCAGGAUUUGUUGAGAAGGGGUUUGCGAUAAAGAAUGGACCAAACUGGAGA
RNAcentral lists this long non-coding RNA (1040 nucleotides) under Anolis carolinensis (green anole). RNAcentral describes it as "lncRNA (ENSACAG00000045365.1)". The record is from RNAcentral. Lineage: Eukaryota; Metazoa; Chordata; Lepidosauria; Squamata; Anolidae.